RNAcentral lists this ribosomal RNA (274 nucleotides) under uncultured bacterium. Its description in RNAcentral is "partial 16S ribosomal RNA". It matches the Rfam family "Bacterial small subunit ribosomal RNA", at positions 523 to 796 of the family's 1533-position model. The record is from RNAcentral.
CUACGAAGGGGGCUAGCGUUGUUCGGAAUUACUGGGCGUAAAGCGCGUGUAGGCGGAUCGUUAAGUCAGGGGUGAAAGCCCGGGGCUCAACCCCGGAACUGCCCUUGAUACUGGCGAUCUAGAGUCCGGAAGAGGUGGGCGGAAUUCCCGGUGUAGAGGUGAAAUUCGUAGAUAUCGGGAGGAACACCAGUGGCGAAGGCGGCUCACUGGUCCGGUACUGACGCUGAGACGCGAAAGCGUGGGGAGCAAACAGGAUUAGAAACCCUAGUAGUCC